This 460-nucleotide ribosomal RNA is filed under the name uncultured bacterium. RNAcentral's name for it is "partial 16S ribosomal RNA". It matches the Rfam family "Bacterial small subunit ribosomal RNA", at positions 338 to 795 of the family's 1533-position model. The record is from RNAcentral.
CCUACGGGGUGCAGCAGUGAGGAAUAUUGGUCAAUGGACGAGAGUCUGAACCAGCCAAGUAGCGUGAAGGAUGACUGCCCUAUGGGUUGUAAACUUCUUUUAUAUGGGAAUAAAAUGUUCCACGUGUGGGAUUUUGUAUGUACCAUAUGAAUAAGGAUCGGCUAACUCCGUGCCAGCAGCCGCGGUAAUACGGAGGAUCCGAGCGUUAUCCGGAUUUAUUGGGUUUAAAGGGAGCGUAGGUGGAUUGUUAAGUCAGUUGUGAAAGUUUGCGGCUCAACCGUAGAAUUGCAGUUGAAACUGGCAGUCUUGAGUACAGUAGAGGUGGGCGGAAUUCGUGGUGUAGCGGUGAAAUGCUUAGAUAUCACGAAGAACUCCGAUUGCGAAGGCAGUUCACUGGACUGCAACUGACACUGAGGCUCGAAAGUGUGGGUAUCAAACAGGAUUAGAUACCCUUGUAGUC